Molecule: ribosomal RNA, 705 nt
Filed under: Bacillus sp. (in: firmicutes)
Lineage: Bacteria; Bacillati; Bacillota; Bacilli; Caryophanales; Bacillaceae
Description: bacterial SSU rRNA
Rfam family: Bacterial small subunit ribosomal RNA
Source: RNAcentral
GAGCUUGCUCCCUGAGAUUAGCGGCGGACGGGUGAGUAACACGUGGGCAACCUGCCUAUAAGACUGGGAUAACUUCGGGAAACCGGAGCUAAUACCGGAUACGUUCUUUUCUCGCAUGAGAGAAGAUGGAAAGACGGUUUACGCUGUCACUUAUAGAUGGGCCCGCGGCGCAUUAGCUAGUUGGUGAGGUAAUGGCUCACCAAGGCGACGAUGCGUAGCCGACCUGAGAGGGUGAUCGGCCACACUGGGACUGAGACACGGCCCAGACUCCUACGGGAGGCAGCAGUAGGGAAUCUUCCGCAAUGGACGAAAGUCUGACGGAGCAACGCCGCGUGAACGAAGAAGGCCUUCGGGUCGUAAAGUUCUGUUGUUAGGGAAGAACAAGUACCAGAGUAACUGCUGGUACCUUGACGGUACCUAACCAGAAAGCCACGGCUAACUACGUGCCAGCAGCCGCGGUAAUACGUAGGUGGCAAGCGUUGUCCGGAAUUAUUGGGCGUAAAGCGCGCGCAGGUGGUUCCUUAAGUCUGAUGUGAAAGCCCACGGCUCAACCGUGGAGGGUCAUUGGAAACUGGGGAACUUGAGUGCAGAAGAGGAAAGUGGAAUUCCAAGUGUAGCGGUGAAAUGCGUAGAGAUUUGGAGGAACACCAGUGGCGAAGGCGACUUUCUGGUCUGUAACUGACACUGAGGCGCGAAAGCGUGGGG